UGCCCCCCUCCCGCCCCGGGCUCCCGCGGACACGGCCGGGGACGGAGCCAAGGUACGAGUGUCUGCCUAGAAUGUCCAGGCAUGCAAAAAAGCUUAGAGAUCACGAUAUAAAUCCAUGUCUAGCGUGUUCUUUCAUCUGAAGAGCUCACUCCUAUCUUCAUAGAUAUUCUGGCACUUGUUAAAAUAUUUAAACAGUGAGUACAGUAACUUCCCUCAGCUCUGAAGUAUGUUUUCCCCUAUUAAAGGAAACAGAUGCCACUACAAAAUGUAUGAAUGACAACAACUAUAACAAGGAUAUGUGUACUGAUUAUUUUUUGAAGUACAAAAACUGCAGAAAAUUCUGGCAUGAAAUUAUGAUGCAAAGGAAGAGAAAUGGUGUGAAACCAGAGAUGCCUGCAGCAGAAGAAAGAAAAAAAAUCUUGGAAUCUAUGGGGAAGCCCUAUUGACUAGAAACCUGAAUUGACUGUUGUCACUGUACAUAUGAAGAUUUAGCAGCAGCAAGUUACCAUUUUAUGAACUGGAUUUUACUGUUGCCGUAUUUUGGAUUAAAAUAAGAUCUUAAACUUUGAAA
This is a non-coding RNA of Sturnus vulgaris (Common starling), 571 nucleotides long. NCBI's taxonomy places the organism in Eukaryota, Metazoa, Chordata, Aves, Passeriformes, Sturnidae. The record is from RefSeq and is a predicted model, not a curated record.